GUUAGAAUUACUGGUUGUACGAACAGAGCUAUUAAAUACAAGUAUAAUAGGUUCUUUAAUUGCAGAAACGCACAACUAUGAAUCAUUGUGGCGGCGCUUCAUAUAAACAGGUCACACGCAAUAAUUGUAUCAUUCACCUCCGUUUUAACUCUUCCAUGCCGAUGGAUAUUGUUCCACUGGAAAUAAAAGGCCAUCCAAUGACCAACGAUCCGAUCGUCGAUCUUCGAUUACCAACAGAGUCGGAGAAACGGAAGAAUAAUCGACGGUAAUAAUCGGGCAAUUUGCGAAAUCUUAACUUUCGAAGGGAAUCGUGCGCGCAACGUUUGGACAAGGGCAGCGACAAAGUGGUCAUCGUAUAGCAGUUGCACCACGUGGUCGACAGAAUAUACGAAGAAUAGAAAGAACAUAUUCAGACACGUAAUUACCAGGCAUCAAAGCUUGGAAUACUUGUGAAUUCCAAGUUUAAAGGUCGUAAAAGUCAACGGCUCGUGUACAAACCUAUUCUACAUGGCGACACGACACUUAAAAUUAUGGGAAGAGGAAAUAAUACUCGUGGAAAGCGAUGACGUUACGAAAGAAAGGGAUGGUGUCAGAUAGUACGAUAUUAAAUAACCACACCCUUUUUAACGAUCUCUCGUAACUAAAUCUAUCAGGGGUCGCUUAUCGUGGCCCCCAUUGAUAACUGCUUCCGCUGUUCUUUGAUAAAGGAGCGCGCUCGAUACAGAGUUACAAGUGUUACAACGGUGUUGUUUGUAAAAAUAGGGGCUCUCAUUACGAGUAACGCUACGAUCUAGCCUAGUUUUAUCGAAUCCAUAACAGUAUUUUCUCGAUAAACGCAAUCAUCGAAGGACCGUACUUCGAUACAACAUAGACCAAACUAAAAUAUUCUGUACAGAGUGCAGGGAAUCGAAUAAAUCUCUGUUUAUCUCUAUCAUGCGUCUUACUGAAAUUUAAAUUAUACGAGGAUAACCAUUAAGCAUCGAUGCCGUUCGAAUAAUUACGAGCCGUGGAGCGUGUGUGUUCCAUAGUAACUCGUACGCGCAACAUUCAUCCGCAUUCUCAUGGAACGACAAAGCAAGAGAAACUAGAAUUGCCAAUGUAGUUGCACGUAAUUAGCAACAAAUGAUAGCCACUUAUGCAAUCUUUAUUACAGACGAUCGAUCGACGACGUGUUUGCCGGCGCAAGGCUGUAUCACGAGUGUAAUGAUAAUGGCCAGGCGCCGCCGGCGCCAAAUAAUUGUCUGCUUUUGCCCUCUUUACUCUAUCGACGAGCAUAUAUCGUCAUCCUAUCGAAGCCAGAAUACCUUUGUUUCUCGUACAGCGACGCGGAUCGGCGCGUUCCGUCGAUCGCGAAUUACGAUUAAUUAGGACGUGCCCUUUGAUGAUCACGCGCCGCAAUCGCGGCAAAGCGAACGCAAAAUGUUUUUACCGGAGAUACGCGCUCAACGAAGAGACUAAAUAACUCGAUGUGAUUUGGCGUGAUUUUUGAAAAAUAGGCAACUCGUACGAGAAGCGAAAGCAACGUCGAUGGAGAAUUUCGAAGGUCGACGUUACGUUCGAGUAAUUCGGGAAAACGUGAUCGUAACGGCGGAUAGAACACGAGGUUUUCGAGUAUGAUCCAACAGCGAGCGACUACCAACAGACAUACCGUCGAACGCCGGUGUCGUGUUUGGAUUUCACAUUCUUCCCGGUAACACAAGUGUUCUUCAUGCAAGGCGUGUCCCUGUUUCUCGCGCUGCCGACGGAUCCACGUUUCUUCCGUUUGAACGAAACAACCCAAAUCAUUCUUAUCUUUCCUACGUGGAACGACCGGCUCCCUCCACGGUUCCUCCGCGUCUCGCCGCGACGAGUCGUUUCCCUCGCGCUGGGCUCCGGAAUACGCCGCGUGACGCUAUGCGACCCCUUCGUUUAAAUUAUAAGAAAGACGACCAGGGUCCCGGUUUGUCGCGGCACUCGUCGAAAUCCGGUAGGAUUGGAAAGAGGAAGAAGGAGAAAAAAAAAAAAAGGGGGAGAAGGAAAUCCGGAGAAACGUAAAAUCUAAUCGCGGUGGAAGAUGUGUUCCAAGGAAUUAAUAAAAGAGAAAAGAAAAUGGUAUUCCAGGAGAAGAAUAAAAGAUCAUUACCGGAGGACCGAUCGUGAAAUUGUAAUCUGGGAACGUCGGGGGAAAAAGAGACGCGUGAGACGGAUGGGAGAGGAUCGGAUUGGGGAAUUUGAAAAAUUCCAUACGAAGAGUCAGAUAUCGUGAAACGAAGAUUACAUCGAAACUUGGCGAGUUACGUCGUGCGUCUACAGUGAUUUAAAACGUCGUAUAGUUUUUUAAACCUUGACGUAUAUUCGCGUCCUAUCUCGGUUUUUAACCCGUAUCGUGGUUUUUAAGAUUUACGUGUUUGCGCUUUAAAAUGUCGCGCCGUUGCAAACUCUGAUAUUUGACCGCUCCUUGCUUUACAUUCCAUUUUUGUAUUAUAUUUGGAAGAUUAGAUUCCCUUAUUUAUACUCGCAGGUACUACGAUCGCGUAUUAAUAUUGUCAAUAUUAAAUAAACGUAUUAUUUUUCUAUCGAACGUCUAACUCAAAUAAAGAUCUUACGUUAGAAAUCGAACGGCGAAGCUAAUCGUAUCGUAUCGUUUUCUACUCCAAAGUAAUUCGCCAUCUUUUAAGAAAAAUCAUUCUUUCGCAAAGAUAAUCGAUCCUAUCGAAGAUCAAACGACGAAAUCAAACAACUAUUUUUAUCGUAAUUUUUUUCAUAAUUGUACAAAAGCUUCGCAACUUUUUUAUUCCGUUUUAUUCGUCGACUGGAAACUUUGUAUUCUACGGAUUAUCCGUCGUAAGAUCUCCGUAGCGGUGUAUUAAACGCGGGCGUAUCGACAAUGAGUCGUAAAUCGCGAGUCGUGUAAUAUAUUCUACCUAGUGCACCAUGUUUAAUCGCAUUGUUCAGGCUUCGAUGACUGUGUCAUAAUUUCCAAAAGUUUAACUCGCGAUUCCCCCUAAACAGAAUGAAGCCGUCAGCUAAAUACUCGAUUUCAUGCCCGCAUUGCUCCACUUCCGUCGUCGUGCUUCCUAUUUUCCGAUGUGGCACGACGGAGACGCUGAAACGAGCUGAUGCGGGUAGGUUAACCCUCGUCAGGGUCAAUUCGACCCGACUACGUGGAACGUAGCGGCAAUAGUCACGAGAUCGAUUCUCAUACGUCCAACGUAAACGUUACUGCACGAAGAACAUGAAAUUGGUAGAAACGUUUUAACAGUUUUCUAUCGUUAAAUUAUUAUACCUUUCGUAGAAGAUCGCUUGGAAAAUACAAAUUAAACGUUGGAACCAUCAGGAUUUUCGAAGCAAAACCGGUGGUCGUUCUUGCUGUUGCAAAACGUAACUGGACCGAAAGUGCCUGUACAAUUUCACACUUUCAUCCAAGUAAUUCGAGAAAUCGAAGCGAAAUAGAAUUCUGGAAGACUUUGUAAAGUAAAAGGAUACGCAAAUUCAAUGUUAUUUCCGAAUAGGCUUACGUAGCAGCGCCUUUAAAGGUUGGUCCGAGCUAGACUCGUAGCGCCAGGCAGUCGGAGGGUCCACGGACAGAACGGUCCAACCUAUCCUAACGUAACCGGCCGACUAUCCUCUUUUUCUUUCCCUUGGUGACGGUUUCCUUGGUCGUUUCUCUUCGGUUGGCCCCGGUUCUCUCGCUCGUUUCCAAGAAACAGUUCACGGACGGUAUACGUACUAAUGGUAGAACGUGGUGGGGAAGCGUUUGUUAACCCCCGGUGUGUUGCACGCUUUCCUUCGUCUCUUUACUUAUUUAUUAACGGGUUGUUACCCUUUCACCAUGGCGAGAAACGAUUUCUUUUUCGGGCCCGUAUGCCGGGUGAUAACAAGUUACAUGUCGCUUACGAGGAAGUACAUCUUUGUUUUAUCGUUUUGUUCUCGGGUCAGACGUUGGUUAGGACCAAAUUUCCUUGCAUUCUGGUACCAUUCUUGAAGCGAGUAAUAGUACUGUUUGCAUUCCCGUCUUUUGCGGUAACGUUUGUUAAAUAAACGAAUAGUACAGAUCGUUUUGACUUUCCUUCUCCCCGGUAACGUUCUUAAAAUAAGUAACGGUAAAAAUCGUUUUAAUCGAAUACACGAUGUUGCGAAAGAAGGAAAGUUUUAUCGAAGUUUCGGCUUUAAAAAACGUCUCGUACUCGUCGACGUAACAGUAACUAACGUGACGAUCUCUGUAUCUA
Long non-coding RNA from Bombus huntii, 4208 nucleotides. RefSeq lists it as uncharacterized. The record is from RefSeq and is a predicted model, not a curated record. The transcript is spliced from 3 exons. NCBI's taxonomy places the organism in Eukaryota, Metazoa, Arthropoda, Insecta, Hymenoptera, Apidae.